Callithrix jacchus (white-tufted-ear marmoset) is the source of this 1550-nucleotide long non-coding RNA. The record is from Ensembl. Lineage: Eukaryota; Metazoa; Chordata; Mammalia; Primates; Cebidae.
AAGAGAGGUUGGUAGACUUCCAUUAGGCUCUUUAUGAAUCAGCUUUUACCUUGGAACAUCUCCUUGGUCCAGAGCCUGGUUCUCAUCUUGGCAGGCUUGGAAACACACAUUUUUCAACACUGAGGGUGUCUCUAUCUCACUCCGAAUAGGGUUUCAUUGUCUGAGCUAGCAAGUGCUUAUUGUGUAAGCUACUUGCUAAGUAUUUGUUGAUGAUGAGAAGCAAAACUGCUUGGGGACUAGGCAUUUGCUGCCUCUACUCAGCAUCCCCCACCCCCGCCCCACUUUUUUAAAUGGAAAACCAUCCAGGAAACCAGAUCAUCACCAGAAGAUUGCUUGGUCACUCUGGCUGCUGUGUAGAGAAUGGACCACACAGGGCAAGAAUGGAAGCAGGAUGCCUUGCUCGAGACUUCACCCAAGCCAGAGAUGAUGGUGGCUCGGUGUGACAACAGUGCGGAUGAAGAAAAGGUAAAUUUGUGCAUUUUUGGAGGUUAAAAUGACAUGCCUUUUUGAUCAAUUGGAUGUGACAGAUGAGGGAAAGAGGAAUAAAGGGAGAUUCCUUGUUUUUUGUCUAAGCAAUUUGUUGAAUGGUGCUUUUGUCAACUGAGAUGGGAGAAGCAAAAGCUGGUGGAGGUUGAAGGUGGGUUAUCAAUUUGUAAUUCCUCUUAGGCACACAGGGGUGUGGUCAGACCUGCUCACCUAUCUGGUGCCAGCUCCAAAGGGGCAGACCUGAGCUGGAACCUGGAAAGGGUGACUUUUUCCCAGUGGCUGUCUGGAAUCCACCUGCUUUCCUUUGCUAGCAAGCCCACUCCCCAUGAGUUAUACCUGCAGGAAGUUCUACCUGUGCCUGUCAGCUCUCCUUGGAUCUUGAGCCCCUGGCUCCUCUCUCUCUGAGGCAGGUCCUGCCUUCUGUUGAAUUCAGCUCAGUUCCACAAAUUCUUAUGGACACCAACUUAGUUUCAGAUCCAUGCUAGAUGUUGGUGGCACAAAGACCUGCAAGGCAUGGCUAAGCCAGCUUCCACAGUUCCUGCCUGCUCUCUGGAGCAGGACUUUUAAAACAUUCAUUCAUGGAGGGACUGUGUAUUAGUCCGGUCUCUUGCUGCUAUAAGGAUAUACCCGAGACUGUGUAAUUUAUAGAGGAAAGAGGUUUAAUUGACUCACAGUUCUGAAGGGCUGGGGAGGCCUGAGGAAACUUAAAUUACGGCAGAAAGGGAAGCAAACACACAGCAGUAACGAGGAGAAGUGCUGAGCGAAAGGGGGAAGAGCCCCCUAUAAAACCAUCAGAUCUUGUGUGAACUUACUAUCAUAAGUAUGGGGGAAACCCCCUCUGUGAUUCAAUUAUCUCCACCUUGCCCCUCUCACGACACAUGGGAAUUAUGGGAACUAUAAUUCAAGAUGAGAUUUGGGUGGGGACACAGCCAAACCAUAUCAGACUGCAAGGGAGAGGUCUGUAACUCCUGUCAUGUGAUAUACAAUUUAUGUUUAGGUACAUUAUUUUCGUUUUUCUAGUAAGGGGACCUAUGGCUUCUAAUAGACACUAUAAAAGGUAGGCG